RNAcentral lists this ribosomal RNA (452 nucleotides) under uncultured bacterium. RNAcentral describes it as "SSU rRNA". It matches the Rfam family "Bacterial small subunit ribosomal RNA", at positions 26 to 518 of the family's 1533-position model. The record is from RNAcentral.
AGAGCGAACGCUGGCGGCAUGCUUAACACAUGCAAGUCGCACGGGCAGGGGUAACUCUGUCAGUGGCGGACGGGUGAGUAACGCGUAGGUAUCUAUCCUUGGGUGGGGGACAACCGUGGGAAACUACGGCUAAUACCGCAUGAUAACUGAGGUUUAAAGGCGCAAGUCGCCUGGGGAGGAGCCUGCGUACGAUUAGCUAGUUGGUGGGGUAAAGGCCUACCAAGGCUACGAUCGUUAGCUGGUCUGAGAGGAUGAUCAGCCACAUUGGGACUGAGACACGGCCCAAACUCCUACGGGAGGCAGCAGUGGGGAAUAUUGGACAAUGGGCGCAAGCCUGAUCCAGCAAUGCCGCGUGUGUGAAGAAGGUCUUCGGAUUGUAAAGCACUUUCGACGGGGACGAUGAUGACGGUACCCGUAGAAGAAGCCCCGGCUAACUUCGCGCCAGCAGCCGC